This is a long non-coding RNA of Dunckerocampus dactyliophorus (ringed pipefish), 195 nucleotides long. RefSeq lists it as uncharacterized. NCBI's taxonomy places the organism in Eukaryota, Metazoa, Chordata, Actinopteri, Syngnathiformes, Syngnathidae. The record is from RefSeq and is a predicted model, not a curated record. The transcript is spliced from 3 exons.
AGCAGAAUAAGCAGACGUGUGACAGUCAGGCGGAUUUGACUUUCCUACCAUAAAGAAUGCUGUCAACAUGUGUUAAUCCAAGGCCAACCCAAGAUGGGCUGAGGACUGAGGACAAAACACUAUUAAAGUCCCUUUCUAGAUGCUGUCAACGUGUGUUUAUCCAAGGCAAGGUGGAAGAGCUGAGGACAAAACAAC